RNAcentral lists this unclassified non-coding RNA (192 nucleotides) under uncultured fungus. RNAcentral describes it as "sequence contains ITS1, 5.8S rRNA gene". The record is from RNAcentral. Lineage: Eukaryota; Fungi.
UUGAUUCAUUUGUUUAUGAUUCCACUCAGACAUGCUAUAAAAAAGAUACAAGAGUUUGGGUCCCCCGGCGGCCGCUGGUCCAGUCCGCGUCCGGCUGGGGCGAGUCCGCCGAAGCAACAAUAGGUAGGUUCACAUAAGGGUUAGGGAGUUGAAAACUCGGUAAUGAUCCCUCCGCUGGUUCACCAACGGAGA